GACGAACGCUGGCGGCGUGCUUAACACAUGCAAGUCGAACGGAAAGGCCCUGCUUUUGUUGGGUGCUCGAGUGGCGAACGGGUGAGUAACACGUGAGUAUCCUGCCCUUGACUUUGGGAUAACUUCAGGAAACUGGGGCUAAUACCGGAUAGGAGCUCCUGCUGCAUGGUGGGGGGUGGUAAGUUUCGGCGGUUGGGGAUGGACUCGCGGCUUAUCAGCUUGUUGGUGGGGUAGUGGCUUACCAAGGCUUUGACGGGUAGCCGGCCCUAGAGGGUGACCGGCUAAAUUGUGACUGAGAGAGCGUACAGACUCGUACGGGACGCAGAAGUGGGGAAUAUUCCACAAUAGGCGGACGCCUGUUGCAGCACCGCCCUGUGCGGAAUAACGGCCUUCCCGUUGUAAACCGUUGUCGCCGGUGACGAAGCGUGAGUGACGGUAAUUUGUAAAGAAGCACGGGCUAACUACGUG
This 468-nucleotide ribosomal RNA is filed under the name uncultured bacterium. RNAcentral describes it as "partial 16S ribosomal RNA". It matches the Rfam family "Bacterial small subunit ribosomal RNA", at positions 28 to 507 of the family's 1533-position model. The record is from RNAcentral.